UGCUUCUCAUUUGGAGGAAGAAAAUUAGC
This 29-nucleotide non-coding RNA is filed under the name Rattus norvegicus (Norway rat). The record is from RNAcentral. Lineage: Eukaryota; Metazoa; Chordata; Mammalia; Rodentia; Muridae.